RNAcentral lists this long non-coding RNA (431 nucleotides) under Elaeis guineensis (African oil palm). RNAcentral's name for it is "long non-coding RNA (EGUI_LNC016905)". The record is from RNAcentral. Lineage: Eukaryota; Viridiplantae; Streptophyta; Magnoliopsida; Arecales; Arecaceae.
CUCUACCAGAAAGGUAUAGAUACUUGUUGAGAAGGUCCCCAUGUCUGUUCUCUUCAGCAGUCCAAGCCCUCGUCCAGACUGCCCAAGAAGUAAGGCUUGCCCCUGUCUCAUCUCGAACUCCAUCAAGGGUGUUGAGCAUUGUUUGAUAUGUAGGAAGAGCUUCUUCAGUGAUCAUAUCUCCAACCAAGCAAACAUAAUAAUCAUCAGGGAUCUCCUUAGAGCGUUCUCUCAGUUCCUUAACCUCUUCAUGAAAUCCUUCUGAUGAUGGAUCAGGCAGAAAAUCCUGGGGCUGCCAACACUUCUCAACAGGCUUCAAAUGCACCAAGAUAUUAUUUUCUGCCCAGUCCUCUAAUGACUUAAAAAUCUCAAUCUUCUGAGGUGGCAUUGAAUGUGUGACCUGAACAUGUACCUCACGCGGAGGCAUGAAGGGC